CGGGUUGUAGCCCCAUCUGCUUGCAUGGGGUGCUAGGGGUCGAGUGUUCGAAUCACUCCGUCCCGACCA
This 69-nucleotide transfer RNA is filed under the name Pseudomonas azerbaijanoccidentalis. RNAcentral describes it as "tRNA-Ser". Lineage: Bacteria; Pseudomonadati; Pseudomonadota; Gammaproteobacteria; Pseudomonadales; Pseudomonadaceae. The record is from RNAcentral.